AUUGAACGCUGGCGGCAUGCUUUACACAUGCAAGUCGAACGGCAGCGCGGGCUUCGGCCUGGCGGCGAGUGGCGAACGGGUGAGUAAUACAUCGGAACGUGCCCAGUAGUGGGGGAUAGCUCGGCGAAAGCCGGAUUAAUACCGCAUACGACCUGAGGGUGAAAGCGGGGGAUCUUCGGACCUCGCGCUAUUGGAGCGGCCGAUGGCAGAUUAGCUAGUUGGUGGGGUAAAGGCCUACCAAGGCGACGAUCUGUGGCUGGUCUGAGAGGACGACCAGCCACACUGGGACUGAGACACGGCCCAGACUCCUACGGGAGGCAGCAGUGGGGAAUUUUGGACAAUGGGCGAAAGCCUGAUCCAGCAAUGCCGCGUGUGUGAUGAAGGCCUUCGGGUUGUAAAGCACUUUUGGCGGGAACGAAAAGGACUGUGCCAAUACCACGGUUCGAUGACGGUACCCGCAGAAUAAGCACCGGCUAACUACGUG
Molecule: ribosomal RNA, 484 nt
Filed under: uncultured bacterium
Lineage: Bacteria
Description: partial 16S ribosomal RNA
Rfam family: Bacterial small subunit ribosomal RNA
Source: RNAcentral